GUGCCAGCAGCCGCGGUAAUACGUAGGGCGCAAGCGUUGUCCGGAAUUAUUGGGCGUAAAGAGCUCGUAGGCGGUUUGUCGCGUCUGCUGUGAAAGCCCGGGGCUUAACCCCGGGUGUGCAGUGGGUACGGGCAGACUAGAGUGCAGUAGGGGAGACUGGAAUUCCUGGUGUAGCGGUGGAAUGCGCAGAUAUCAGGAGGAACACCGAUGGCGAAGGCAGGUCUCUGGGCUGGUACUGACGCUGAGGAGCGAAAGCAUGGGGAGCGAACAGGAUUAGAUACCCUGGUAGUCC
This 292-nucleotide ribosomal RNA is filed under the name uncultured microorganism. RNAcentral's name for it is "partial 16S ribosomal RNA". It matches the Rfam family "Bacterial small subunit ribosomal RNA", at positions 505 to 796 of the family's 1533-position model. The record is from RNAcentral.